Long non-coding RNA from Hydra vulgaris (swiftwater hydra), 448 nucleotides. RefSeq lists it as uncharacterized. The record is from RefSeq and is a predicted model, not a curated record. Lineage: Eukaryota; Metazoa; Cnidaria; Hydrozoa; Anthoathecata; Hydridae.
UUAUUUAAAACAAUUCAAACAAUAUGCUUCUUUUAAAGGUUUAUUGCAUAUGGAAUACAAUUCAUUUGAAACACAUUUAUGUUCAACGGAAGUUAAUAGCGACUUAAUCGAGUCUUCUAUGUUUGCUAAUACUGAAUUAUUAUCAACAGAAAUAGAUUGUGAAUUUCAACCAGUGAGAAAAUCAAACUCAAACGUAAACGAAUUAAAUUUGUAAGAUGUUCAGUCUGCUUCUUGUUCUGAUGCAGAUCAAGUUGUUAUAACAUCCAAUGAAGUUUGUAUGGAUCACGAUUAUGUUUAGGCAAACUUCCUUCAAUUAAGUAACAAUUUUUAAACUUUUUUAUUUUAUAAAUGUAUUUUAAUUUUGUUCAAAUCCUCUUCUUUGUCUUGAUUAUUUGAGUUUUUUUUAGUAUUUGAACCUCAUUUAAAAUUUUCGCAUUCCGUAUUUUAU